UUUUUCGGGAGUUUGUGUGUUCCAUGUGUACUCCUUGCACUCACAGCACUGAAAGUAGUAAGAAGCCACCUGGAAGUUUUCUGGAAAAAAAGCCAGUGCAGGUUUAUAAGGAAAGCAGAGGUGUGGGGCUUGGGAAAAGCUUUUAAUUAAAAAAUAUGAGUUCUAGGCCCAGGGCUGGCAGUAUCUAACUAUGUAACCUUGGGUAAGUCACCCCCUUUCACUCAACCUUACUUUCUACACCAUUAAAAUGAGGGAAUAGGAAUGCAGGGGAGUACAAAUUAUCCAACCCAUUUACUCUGCCUACAGCAGCCAGACGUUUUUUUUUCCUGGAGGCCAGGCACGGUGGCUCAUGCCUGUAAUCCCAACAUUUUGGAAUGCCAAGGCAGGAGGAUCACCUGAGGUCAGGAGUUCGAGACCAGCUUGGUCAACAUAGAAAAACCCAGUAUCUACUAAAAAUACAAAAAUUAGUCAGGCGUGGUGGUGGGCACCCUGUAAUCCCAGCCUCGGGAGGCCAAGGCAGGAGAAUUGCUUGAAGCUAGGAGGCGGAACUUGCAGUGAGCUGAGAUUAUGCCACUGCACUCCAGCCUGGCCAACAGAGUGAGACUCUGUCUCCAAAAAAAAUUAAAAUAAAAAUAAAAAAUUAAAAAAAAAAUAUUCUCUUGGGCAAGAUAGGAAGGAACAGACAGCCAAAUGGCACCCUGGCUAUCAGCCUUGUCAGAAAGUCAGGGAACAAGCUCGUAGUUGAAAGGAAUCCUGGAUUUAAGAGAUUAGCCCUCUAAGAGGGGCUGUGCAGCAAAGAGCAGAGGUGGAGAACCAUCACAGUGGUGCAGGCACUGUCCCAGGGAGGCUGCGGGCCCCAGAGUGGAUCCAAAGGACAUGCACUCCCUUUGUGUCACAACACCUUUGUCCAGAAAUUCUUCUCUUCCCUCACAAAGUCCCUAACCCCAUCAAGCUGUGUCAACCUUGACUUUUUAUUAUUUUUAAAGAGAUUCUCCAUCUUUUAAUGAGGAUAUCAAAACAAAGUUUUACUUUAGACAAGGCAUAUAUCAACUCUUAGAGCUAUGUAUAAUCAAACAUCUACUUAACAAUAUUUAAUAUUAGUUUAGUUAUAAAUACAUAUUUAAAUCACACUGCACAUAAAAUAUUAUUUAGAUAUCAUGCUUUUUUCUAUUUUAUUCAGUUAAUUAUUAUUCAAAUGACAGCCCUACUCUUGUGUUUCACAUAUAAGAACACUGAUUCUGAGAAAUAUAGAGACAGGGCCCCAAGUCCACAUGAUUAUCCUCAGGAGAUGUGGGGCUUCUGCCUCCAGAAUGAGGAAGUCACAGACACCAGAGGUGUUCCUGAGAACUUAGGAGCCUAGCAGAGCAGCUCUGAAAACGGAGGACAUUUAGUCCAUCUGUCACAAGUGCAAACACUUCUGGUCCUUGAGAGGUGUGGGAUAAAUUUUCAUGUGUACACCACCACUCUCUGAACCAGGCACUUUACAUGUGUAAAAAAUUCCCCAGGCGAAUACAAUGUACAACCAAGUUUGAGACCCAGCACCUUAGAGAGAGCAUCCCCUUCCCCUGUGGCUGAGCCUGAUAGCUGUCUCCUGUAUCAUGCAGCUGAGAAAGGCAGGCUCACCCCGCUUUAAAAAGAGACUCUAAGAAGUUAGGAAAGACUCUGAAUUCAGCUGUGAUGUAGCUCCCCUCUGGCAGAGAAAAGGGCAGAUUCCCAACAGACAGGUAGUGACCUGAUAUCCCUGUACCCGGGGAUUGGCACUGAGCUGGGAGCCAGACUCCCACAGCUCAACUGCAGGACCCAUGAGCAGGCCUAGAGUGCAGCCUGAGGUUUGGCACUACCAAGACCGCUGCUGGGACCUAGAACAUGUGCUGAGCCUAAGACUUAGUGAGGCAGCAAGGAAGUGGGGCCCACACAUGUCUGUUUCAGACAUGAACAGCAGGGCCAAGGCAACACGGACACCAGAGAGGUAGGGGAGGAGAGAAAUCCCAAAGAGGUCUCAGAAAGCUGGUAUCGGGUCAGCUUAGGCCACCAAGUGAGGACACACUCGUUGCAUAAGCCUGAGGCCAAUGCUAAGCAAUCCUCUGAGGGUUAGGAAGACUUCAUUCCACAGCUCUUGUCCAGGGCUCCAGGCAACUUGAAGCUGGGGUCCGAGCUCUGAUCCCAACAGAGCAAUAGCAUCCACUGGAGGAGCCUGAUGCUCCUCCGCUAGUUCCAACCCGUAGACCCAAAGCUGGACAGAGCUUCACUGUUCAUCCAGCCAAUUCCCCACCACACAGAUGAUGACAUGGAGGCCCUGGGACAGGGAGGAGCUUAGCUAAAAUCACAUGGCCCUUGUAUAACAUAGGUGAUACCGUGAACUACUAAGCAGUCCCUGAUUACCUCUGUAGCCACAGGUAAGAUGCUCUACCUCCCUAUGCCUCUGUCAGACACUAAGCAACGAGAAAAAACACUCUAGUUGUAUCCUCUGGCAGGCUGGACAUCCUCACCAACAGUCCUGCCCUCCCACCCCCGGGCAGCCCCAGUCUACUGAGCACCAGGAGCACCAGCUAAGGCCCCCACCACACAGCCCCUGAAGGCUUCCUCCAACCCACCACUCAGAGCAGCACCACCUUCAAGAAACAUGUUGCACCCAAUCCCCAAAUACCCAGACCCUGCUAGAAAGACAAAUUUUUGUCCAAGUCACCCCUAAAGUGACUGCUGCUUCUGCCCCAGCUGCCAGCAGGCUUAUCUGUGGCCCUGCUGCCGUGAUUAGGGCAACACUGGGAGAGAAGUCAGAGAAGCGACAGGUGAGACCACCACAGGUCCCAGAGGAUGGCGCUUACCAAGCGCCCAGGAACACCCACCCUGCAUGCUGCAGCCAGGCGGGCUGCAAGGCCUAAGCCUCGGGGAAUGGAUACUGGAUAGGGUAAGGGGAGCAGCCUGGAUCCUCUCCUCCUUUCUCUGAUGCAUCCUCAGCCAGGGCUGCAUUUCUCUAGCUCACCUGAGAUACUCCUGCAAGAAAGAGCUUGGUUGACUCCUCCUGUUUCUGUUUAUCUCGAAGGCUCUGCAGCAAUUUUCCCAAACUGAACAGCAAGAGGGAGACCUCAAAGAGGCGACUCUCUUCCUAGCUGCAUCUCCUUCCUAAUCCUCUGGGUGCCUUGGAAUAGAAGCUCAGAAGGAAGAAAACGACAUUUUCAACUUUCAGGAACUAGCUCUGUCGCCCUCUGCACAGCUCGGGAGACAGCACUCUCAGCCUUUUAGGACUCCAUCCAAAAAUCCUUCAGCCCUCCAUGUUCCCCAAAAUGACAGUGCUCAUGUGUGGCUGGAACCUGCCCCGAUCCGGCAGCUCAUUUAAAUAGAGCUCAUCACAACAACAGUGUUGGUGGUGAAGUGAGUAGCUGCAGGACCCUGGGGACCCCCUGUUUAUACGUAGGAAGAAUGAUGCAAUCUGGGUAUCAAAAUAGCAAUCCAGAAUGGAAUAACAGGCUCACGCAGCAGCGGUGCCUGCACAGCCAGAGCUCAAGUUGACACACUCUGUCAGCCCCACACUGCUGCAGCACGCAGAUGCCAGGCACACACUCUCACCGCAUCAUUUUAAAAAACAGCAGGAGCCCAAGAUAUCCCUCCAUGCCCCCGGCACUGAAGGAGGGUGUGGGGGGGCCUUCAACAGACAUUGAAAUCUGUCUCCUACAUACUCACCUGCUCCUGCCACUUCACCUGAAGUCCUUAUCCUGUGACGUCACAGUCAGUUGCCAUAGUGACCAAUUGUCCGUCACAAGCAGAGGAUUAGGACUUCGGAUGGAGAAGACACACAUUUACGAUGCACAAAGGUCCUGGGAGGUCUCCCUUGGCAGUUAACUCUACCCACCAGGAAGAUCCAGUCACACACAAGCAGGGAGGGAAAAAGGGAAGAAUGAACAGGGUUGACUGGAGGAGACAUUAGGAUGGGGCAAGACUACAAGUACAGCAUAAUUUCAAAAGCACAGAGCAACCAGAUGAGGGGGAGUGGCAGGGAUGUGCUUGGAAAGACCGGAAGGAGAGUAAGCUCCUGAAGGGACCUGAAUGCUAAGCUCAGGAGCUUGACCUUCAUCCUAAAAUAAAAGGCAGCCCAAAAAGUUUCUGGAGAGUGACUGAGCUGGGCUUUAUGAUUAUCUUGAUGGACUGAACACAGGGAGGUCAGGGUAGUUGAGCAUUAAUGGGACCCUAAAUAAGGGUAAAAAUGGAAAAAAGCAAAAGAAGACUCAUUUCAAAGAGAACUGACAGGACACAAGCAAAUUAGGAUGUUGGGGCUAGUGGUGGUGUGUGAAGAACAAGGAAUCAAGUGGAGGGGCUGUCAUGAACAGAGGGCUCCAGGCUCCAGCUUCUGCACCUGCUGCACACCCAGCUCACCAGCCUGCCCUUCACCUGGGAGACUUGAGUUACUGCCCACAACAGACCCCACAAGGCUGGACACACUGCAGCACCUGGAAUGAGCAAAGAGUAGUCACCCACCUCCCAGGCUCCUACAGCUGAGAUCUCACCUCUGGCCUCCCAUUCCCACCCAAGACCAUUAGAACCCCUGCAGCUGAGCUGCUCAUUAAGAUAAGUGUCAUUUCCCUCUCUGAUUCUAAGGUUGUAGCAUCUUGCAUCAGUUCCCCCUCUUUGGAUAUUCCUAAAGUCCCAAGGCCUGCCCACCGAGGGACCGUGAUUGCUCCUCCUUUCAGCAUUAGUAGUGUUCGGGGAUGCUGUCACUCUUCACUAGCUUCAAGAAGCAUCGGGCUAUGGUAGUUAUUUGGUGUUCUUAAAUCUCAUUAAGUCUAGCCCUGAAAGCCAGAAAGGGCUUAGAAUUGCCCAGUCAAUUAGUGCUAGUGUCCAGGUGAGCUCUAGGGUCUGUGACUUCCAGCUACAUCCUCAACUUUGAAAAUGGGAAAAAUAAGAUACUAAACAAGUAGAUUCUGAAAUCUGUAUCUAAGUAUCAAAGUCUUCCAGCCAUGAUUUGUCUUUUAAUUGAUUUGAAGAGAAACAAUAAGUAAUGUUCCUUUUCCUCACAUGGGGAAGGAAAUAUCCAAUCAAUUCCCUCUUCCCUUUCCUAAAAUGACAAAUAAAACCACAGCAACUCUGAGAACCUUGAAGACAGAGCCAGCAUAUGGUAAGAGUCAGUUUCAGGGAUGUUAGCUCCCUUCAGAGCUUGCUACAUUUACUUAAAGUAUAAUUUUGGUACUCAGUGGCCAACUUUCCAGACAGAAUUUGACCUGGGACCAUUCUUAAUUAGCCAAAAAAGCAAAUAGCCCCAAGUAGAUAUUCUCAUUGGCUGAGAAAAUCCAAUUCCAAUAGCUAGCAUUUGUGUACCCAGCCAUCCCACUGCAUGGCUAGGCCACUGUAUUCUCACCACACUCCUACCUUUGCUCUGGUCCCCAUCAUUAGCUUUUGAAGAUCUUGCCCAGCUGGUCUCCUCAGUACCUGAGAGGUGACGCAGACCCAUCUUCCUAGUUGCUGGGGAGAAUCUCAGCUAGGCUGUGGCUGUAUUAAUUAAAGAUUUGCACUUGAUCCAGCAAUUCAAAUACUGAGUAUACAAUAGUCCCCCCCUUAUUCAUGGGGGCUACUUUCCAAGAUGCCUGAAACAGUGGAUAGUACCAAACCCUAUAUAUACUAUAUUUUUCCUAUGCAUACAUACCUAUGAUAAAGUUUAAUUUGUAAAUUAGGCACAGUAGGAGAUUAACAAUAACUAAUAAUAAAAUAGAACAACUAUAAGAAUAUACUGUAAUAAAAGCAACAUGAAUGCAGCCUCUACUGUCUCGCUCUCUCUCUCUUCCCCCUGCCCCCCCACAAAAUCUCUUAAUAUUUUCAGGCUGUGAGUAACUAAAAACUUGAAAAGCAAAACCUUGGAUGCGGGGGGAGGGGACUACUGUAUUUCCAAAGAAAAUGAAAUCAGCAUGUCAGAGACAUACCUGCACUCCCAUGUUCAUUGCUGUAUUAUUCACAAUAGCCAGGACAGGGAAUCAACCUAAGUGUCUACUGAUGAAUGGAUAAAGAAAAUGUGAUAUAUAUACACAAUACUAUUCAACCAUUAAAAAAAAGGAAAACCUGUCAUUUGUGACAACAUGGUUGUACUUACAGCACAUUGUAAGUGAAAUAAGCCAGGUACGGAAAGACAAAUACUGUAUAAGCUCACUCACGUAGAAUCUAAAAAAACUGAUCUCAUAAAAGCGGAGAGUAAAAGAGCAGCUACCAGGGGCUAGAGUGGUUGGCAGGGGGCAAGGGUAGUUAGGGAGAUGUUGGUGAAAGAAUACAAAAUCCAAGUUAGAUAGCAGGAGUCAGUUCAAGAGAUCCAUUGUACAGCAUGAUAAGUAUGGUUAAUAAUAUAUUGUAUUCUUGAAAGAUGCCAAGAGAGUAGAUGUAAAGUGUUCUCACCACCAAAAUGAUAACUAUGUGAGGUGUUGUAUAUGUUAACUGGCUAGAUUUAGUCAUUCUGCAACGUAUCUAUACUUCAAAACAUCAUGUUGUACACUGUAAAUACAUACAGUUUUACAUGUCAGUUAAAAAUUUUUUUAAUUAAAAAAUAUUUAUAUUUGCUGGCUCAGGCUGCAGGAUUUGUUCUUUCUUCAAAGAUUUUCCAUGGACUCUCCUCAUCAGUUUGGUAUUCUAAGUGAGCGUGGACUCUCCCCGUGAGCAAAGUGCCACAAUGUCGAUCGCAAGCUUUGAAGACAGGUGAACCUGAAUUUGACCUUACCGGGCAGUAGUUGUUAACCUUAGUCUAUAAAUAUCCCAAUCCUCAUAUUUUUCAUCUAUAAAAUGGGAAUACUAAUACCUACUUUAUAAGGCUGCUGUGAAGUUUACAAAAGAUAAUGCCUGUACAGUGUCUGCCAACCAGUAAGUGCUUGAUAAAUGCAUUUUGUAACUCCCACUUGAAGAACAAAAAGGGACAGAUCACAAGUGAAAAAAGCCUUCUACCCAGGCUUUAUUGAUUAAGUCAUUUAUUCUAUAAAUAUUCACUUAAGACCUCCUCUCCUGUAUCAUGUUCUGUGUUGGGCUGCGGGGUUACAAACAUGAAAGGCACCGUCUGGUUGAAUGAGAAGAUGCCUACCUCAUGACAUCCCCUCAGUUCCAAGCCCCAGAGCAGGAGUACAGCCCUGGGGAGGCUCUGUUGAAGAAUUAGAGUUGAAAACAAGCUGGACAGACCCUGAGCCCAGGCACAGCCCCUCUUCCAUUCAACACAGCAACUGCUCGGCUCUGCCCAGCAAGUAGGAGAAACAGGUUUAUAGAAAUGAACUCAGCCCCAUGUAGCGUGGCUCCAUCUGGUUGGAGGCAUUGAAGCUAGGAACUUGUUUAUUCCUCAGCCUCUAUCCGCCUCCCCUGCCAUCCCUCUACCGGCUCCCACAUUUUACUUUAAAAAAAAAAAAACAGAUUUCUGCCCAGAUUCACAGAAAGAGGAUAAACGUUCCAGAAAGCCUGUGUUCCUACUCUGCUGGACAAACUGACUGCACUAAAAACUCUCUCCAAACAUGGCUUCUCAAACUACAGACCAGAAAUCUAAGUUCAGGUAUUAGGUAUUUCACUAGGCUAGCCAGAGACAGGUGACAGCUCUGCCUUUCAUCAGACAGCUGAUUUGGGAGCCAUUCUUUUGACCCUUCAGAAAAUAUUCAGUGGGCAACUGAUAUCUGCCAGUCCUAGUACGUGGACAACUUACCUGAGUUAUUGAUCCUUUGCUUGAACUUUAAACAAUCUUCUCUUCACUGUAUUAUUAUCACCUGUUUAUUUGGCUGUCAUUCAUUAGACUAUGAGCUCUUUGAAGUCAAGGGCUCUGUCUUUUCAUCUCUGUACCCUAAAUGCCAUACAGCCUGGUACACAGUAGUCAAUAAAUAUCCAUGGGGGAGAGACAGACACACAAACCAACAAAUACCACACCACAUAGGGUCCUAAUAGUUCCAAGUAAUAAAGAGGAAGUUAAGCCAGGCACGAUGGCAUAUUCCAAGCAGCAAACUUAGACAUUGCAGAUCUCCUGAGGUCCAGCCUUUGAAGUUACACAGUAACAUUUCUGCCACAUUCCAGUGGUUAAAGUAAGUCAUAGAACAAUACAGAUUCAAAGGAAACAAAUAGACUUCACCUCUUGGUGGGAUGGGUGGCAGAAAAGAAUUGUGGCCAUCUUUAAAUCCCCAUAGUGAUGAAGGGCACCAUCAUCAAAGCUGACAAAAGGUGCCACCACUGCUGCAGAGGCCCAAUAUCAUUUGGUCCAAAGCAUAGACUGCCUUAUGUUGAUGCAUUGAGACUGCCAUCUCCUAUUGCUGCUAAUACCAACAGUGCUAUUUACCAUUACUGAAGAAUUACGGUAAAGUCACAGGCACCAUCCUUCAUACUGUCAAUACUGCUGAAAUCAAUGGUAAUACCUUGCAUCCUCAUUGUCCAACAUGAUUUUAAUAAAACUCCUUUAGGGCCAGGUGCAGUGGCUCACGCCUGUAAUCCCAGCACUUUGGGAGGCCGAGGCAGGCAGGUCACUUGAGGUCAGGAGUUCAAAACCAGCCUGGCCAACAUGGCGAAACCCUGUCUCUACUAAAAAUACAAAAAUUAGCUGGGUGUGGUGGCACAUGCUGUAGUCCCAGGUAUUUGGG
Molecule: long non-coding RNA, 8567 nt
Filed under: Homo sapiens (human)
Lineage: Eukaryota; Metazoa; Chordata; Mammalia; Primates; Hominidae
Description: HSALNT0171767
Source: RNAcentral